GACGAACGCUGGCGGUGUGCUUAACACAUGCAAGUCGAACGGAAAGGCCCUGCUUUUGUGGGGUGCUCGAGUGGCGAACGGGUGAGUAACACGUGAGUAACCUGCCCUUGACUUUGGGAUAACUUCAGGAAACUGGGGCUAAUACCGGAUAGGAGACCCUGCUGCAUGGUAGGGGUUGGAAAGUCUCGGCGGUUGGGGAUGGACUCGCGGCUUAUCAGCUUGUUGGUGGGGGAGUGGCUUACCAAGGCUUUGACGGGUAGCCGGCCUGGGAGGGUGACCGGCCACAUUGGGACUGAGAGACGGCCCAGACUCCUACGGGAGGCAGCAGUGGGGAAUAUUGCACAAUGGGCGGAAGCCUGAUGCGGCAACGCCGCGUUCGGGAUGACGGCCUUCGGGUUGUAAACCGCUUUCGCCUGUGACGAAGCGUGAGUGACGGUAAUGGGUAAAGAAGCACCGGCUAACUACGUG
This 468-nucleotide ribosomal RNA is filed under the name uncultured bacterium. RNAcentral's name for it is "partial 16S ribosomal RNA". It matches the Rfam family "Bacterial small subunit ribosomal RNA", at positions 28 to 507 of the family's 1533-position model. The record is from RNAcentral.